RNAcentral lists this ribosomal RNA (406 nucleotides) under uncultured bacterium. Its description in RNAcentral is "partial 16S ribosomal RNA". It matches the Rfam family "Bacterial small subunit ribosomal RNA", at positions 29 to 526 of the family's 1533-position model. The record is from RNAcentral.
AUUGAACGCUGGCGGCAGGCCUAACACAUGCAAGUCGAACGAGUGGCGGACGGGUGAGUAAUGUAUGGGAAACUGCCUGAUGUAGGGGGAUGACUACUGGAAACGGUAGCUAAUACCGCAUACCAUCGGAUGUGCCCAGAUGGGAUUAGCUAGUAGGUGGGGUAAAGGCUCACCUAGGCGACGAGCCCUAGCUGGUCUGAGAGGGUGACCGGCCACACUGGAACGGAGACACGGUCCAGACUCCUACGGGAGGCAGCAGUAGGGAAUAUUGGGCAAUGGGCGCAAGCCUGAUCCAGCCACGCCGCGUGAAUGAAGAAGGCCUUCGGGUUGUAAAACACUGUCGGCGGGGAAGCGUUACCCGAAGAAGAAGCACCGGCUAACUCCGUGCCAGCAGCCGCGGUAAUAC